UACGGGGGGGGCAAGCGUUGUUCGGAAUUACUGGGCGUAAAGGGCUCGUAGGCGGCCCACUAAGUCCGACGUGAAAUCCCCAGGCUCAACCUGGGAACUGCGUCUGAUACUGGAUGGCUUGAAUCCGGGAGAGGGAUGCAGAAUUCCAGGUGUAGCGGUGAAAUGCGUAGAUAUCUGGAGGAAUACCGGUGGCGAAGGCGGCAUCCUGGACCGGCAUUGACGCUGAGGAGCGAAAGCCAGGGGAGCAAACGGG
RNAcentral lists this ribosomal RNA (253 nucleotides) under uncultured bacterium. Its description in RNAcentral is "partial 16S ribosomal RNA". It matches the Rfam family "Bacterial small subunit ribosomal RNA", at positions 524 to 776 of the family's 1533-position model. The record is from RNAcentral.